RNAcentral lists this non-coding RNA (29 nucleotides) under Rattus norvegicus (Norway rat). Lineage: Eukaryota; Metazoa; Chordata; Mammalia; Rodentia; Muridae. The record is from RNAcentral.
UGCUUGGCACUUUGUAUUUCACAGUUUGU